GCUGGCGGCGUGCCUAAUACAUGCAAGUAGAACGCUGAAGAGAGGAGCUUGCUCUUCUUGGAUGAGUUGCGAACGGGUGAGUAACGCGUAGGUAACCUGCCUUGUAGCGGGGGAUAACUAUUGGAAACGAUAGCUAAUACCGCAUAACAAUGGAUGACACAUGUCAUUUAUUUGAAAGGGGCAAUUGCUCCACUACAAGAUGGACCUGCGUUGUAUUAGCUAGUAGGUGAGGUAACGGCUCACCUAGGCGACGAUACAUAGCCGACCUGAGAGGGUGAUCGGCCACACUGGGACUGAGACACGGCCCAGACUCCUACGGGAGGCAGCAGUAGGGAAUCUUCGGCAAUUGGGGCAACCCUGACCGAGCAACGCCGCGUGAGUGAAGAAGGUUUUCGGAUCGUAAAGCUCUGUUGUAAGUCAAGAACGAGUGUGAGAGUGGAAAGUUCACACUGUGACGGUAGCUUACCAGAAAGGGACGGCUAACUACGUGCCAGCAGCCGCGGUAAUACGUAGGUCCCGAGCGUUGUCCGGAUUUAUUGGGCGUAAAGCGAGCGCAGGCGGUUUGAUAAGUCUGAAGUUAAAGGCUGUGGCUCAACCAUAGUUCGCUUUGGAAACUGUCAAACUUGAGUGCAGAAGGGGAGAGUGGAAUUCCAUGUGUAGCGGUGAAAUGCGUAGAUAUAUGGAGGAACACCGGUGGCGAAAGCGGCUCUCUGGUCUGUAACUGACGCUGAGGCUCGAAAGCGUGGGGAGCGAACAGGAUUAGAUACCCUGGUAGUCCACGCCGUAAACGAUGAGUGCUAGGUGUUGGAUCCUUUCCGGGAUUCAGUGCCGCAGCUAACGCAUUAAGCACUCCGCCUGGGGAGUACGACCGCAAGGUUGAAACUCAAAGGAAUUGACGGGGGCCCGCACAAGCGGUGGAGCAUGUGGUUUAAUUCGAAGCAACGCGAAGAACCUUACCAGGUCUUGACAUCCCGAUGCUAUUUCUAGAGAUAGAAAGUUACUUCGGUACAUCGGUGACAGGUGGUGCAUGGUUGUCGUCAGCUCGUGUCGUGAGAUGUUGGGUUAAGUCCCGCAACGAGCGCAACCCCUAUUGUUAGUUGCCAUCAUUCAGUUGGGCACUCUAGCGAGACUGCCGGUAAUAAACCGGAGGAAGGUGGGGAUGACGUCAAAUCAUCAUGCCCCUUAUGACCUGGGCUACACACGUGCUACAAUGGUUGGUACAACGAGUUGCGAGUCGGUGACGGCAAGCUAAUCUCUUAAAGCCAACCUCAGUUCGGAUUGUAGGCUGCAACUCGCCUACAUGAAGUCGGAAUCGCUAGUAAUCGCGGAUCAGCACGCCGCGGUGAAUACGUUCCCGGGCCUUGUACACACCGCCCGUCACACCACGAGAGUUUGUAACACCCGAAGUCGGUGAGGUAACCUUUUGGAGCCAGCCGCCUAAGGUGGGAUAGAUGA
RNAcentral lists this ribosomal RNA (1455 nucleotides) under uncultured organism. RNAcentral describes it as "SSU rRNA". It matches the Rfam family "Bacterial small subunit ribosomal RNA". The record is from RNAcentral.